RNAcentral lists this ribosomal RNA (483 nucleotides) under Streptomyces brasiliensis. Its description in RNAcentral is "bacterial SSU rRNA". It matches the Rfam family "Bacterial small subunit ribosomal RNA", at positions 383 to 876 of the family's 1533-position model. Lineage: Bacteria; Bacillati; Actinomycetota; Actinomycetes; Kitasatosporales; Streptomycetaceae. The record is from RNAcentral.
CUGAUGCAGCGACGCCGCGUGAGGGAUGACGGCCUUCGGGUUGUAAACCUCUUUCAGCAGGGAAGAAGCGCAAGUGACGGUACCUGCAGAAGAAGCGCCGGCUAACUACGUGCCAGCAGCCGCGGUAAUACGUAGGGCGCAAGCGUUGUCCGGAAUUAUUGGGCGUAAAGAGCUCGUAGGCGGCUUGUCGCGUCGGUUGUGAAAGCCCGGGGCUUAACCCCGGGUCUGCAGUCGAUACGGGCAGGCUAGAGUUCGGUAGGGGAGAUCGGAAUUCCUGGUGUAGCGGUGAAAUGCGCAGAUAUCAGGAGGAACACCGGUGGCGAAGGCGGAUCUCUGGGCCGAUACUGACGCUGAGGAGCGAAAGCGUGGGGAGCGAACAGGAUUAGAUACCCUGGUAGUCCACGCCGUAAACGGUGGGCACUAGGUGUGGGCAACAUUCCACGUUGUCCGUGCCGCAGCUAACGCAUUAAGUGCCCCGCCUGG